RNAcentral lists this long non-coding RNA (1864 nucleotides) under Capsella rubella. Its description in RNAcentral is "long non-coding RNA (CRUB_LNC003880)". The record is from RNAcentral. Lineage: Eukaryota; Viridiplantae; Streptophyta; Magnoliopsida; Brassicales; Brassicaceae.
GAGAAGAGUUUUUGUUUCUACCAAAAGUUAUAAUUAUCAAUAUCGUUAUCUAAAAUUUUCCUCCAUGUCUAACUGUUUUAUAUUUUAAUAGAGUGGAAUAGUGCUUAAAAUUGUGAAACCUCUUUGAUUAAAAUGAUAUAAAGGAGACCUAAAUUUAAAAAAAAAAAAAAAAAAAAUACAUUUAGUAGCUAUGUCGGGGUAAAGGGUAAAUUUCAACCUGAACCCUAGAAAAGUAGAAUCCAAUUUUCUCUCAAAUCGAUUCUCGAACAGCGAUGGCACGAACUGAACAUUAUUUCAAAUAAAACUGAACUGAACAUUAUUUCAAAUAAAACAAAGAAAAAUCAAAAUAUAAAUUUCAAAAUAUAAGUAGUCUAUAUAUAUAAAGUUAACUUUGCUCUCUUCUCCUUAAGCCACCUCACCAUCCUAAUCAUCAUACACAUCAUUUUACUAUUUAAUUAUAAUAAUUUAUUUAUACCAUUUUAUUCUUUAAUUUAAAUAUUUAUACACAUGUAAACAAGUUUUUCAAAAAGUAAUAUGAAAAGUCCUUUCAAAUGAUAAUUAUAAUAAAAUAAAUAUGUUAAAUUAGUAUAAAGUAGAUUAUACUAAUAUGUAUGUUAAAUAACAAAAAAAUAACAAAUAUAACAAACAAAUAUAACAAAUAAAAAUAACAAACAAAAAUAAAUAGAUAAUAAACAACUUAUCGCCAAAUCAACAAAUAAAAAUACAAUAAUUCGCACGAAUCCACAAAUCAUUCUCAACUAUUGGACCAACAUAUUAAAAGGACCUACAAUAUUAACAUCAUCGAUCUAUAUUUGGUAGGAGCCUUAAUAACACAUUUUUUCUACAACUCUCCAUAACACUUCCGUUUACGCCUACACAUCGAUUUAUACUAUACACACUUAAUUCUCAACUAUUAUCGAAACUAAAAUAAAAUAGAUUUUCUAUACAAACACUACAUGAGAUAGAAAAUAAAAAUAUGAUUUAGUUGAGAAAAUAAGUACGAAAUAAAAUAUGAAUCAUUUACUCAUAAACUACGUAAUAAAACUCCCGCGCGUAGCGCGGGCAACUGACUAGUAGAUAUAUAUAUAUAUAUAUAAUCACCUAUCAAACAUAUUCAAACUCUCAAUCCCUCCUCUCUCACUUAUCUUACUCUAGAAAAAAAAAUGACGAAUAGAAAAGUCUCAAGAGAUGAGGAACUACUAGUCACAUGUACUCUGCCAGACAAGGAGAUCCCUGCCGGUUCUCUCCCAGUCGCUCGUAUUCAUCCAGCUCCCCUUGUGGUUCCCCCUUGCUCCUCCUCCGCUAGCUUUCCAAGAUCUUAGUGAUUCUCCUCUCAAUAGACUGACUCAUAUUCAACGUCUGAGGAUGCGUAGAAAACAAAGAACCCAAAGCCGCAAGCAAAGAAGAAAGAACGUCAACAUGAGAAACAACAACGAAGGCGAUAACAACGAGGGCGGCGGAAUGGGCGGCGAAGGCUGCAUUGAAGCUUGAUAAUUUUCUUUUAAAAAAUAACUGUUUUUAAUAUGGCAUCAAAUAUGAGAAGAGUUUUUGUUUCUACCAAAAGUUAUAAUUAUCAAUAUCGUUAUCUAAAAUUUUCCUCCAUGUCUAACUGUUUUAUAUUUUAAUAGAGUGGAAUAGUGCUUAAAAUUGUGAAACCUCUUUGAUUAAAAUGAUAUAAAGGAGACCUAAAUUUAAAAGAAAAAGAAAAAAAAAUACAUUUAGUAGAUAUGUCGGGGUAAAGGGUAAAUUUCAACCUGAACCCUAGAAAAGUAGAAUCCAAUUUUCUCUCAAAUCGAUUCUCGAACAGCGAUGGCACGAACUGAACAUUAUUUCAAAUAAAACUGAACUGAACAUUAUCUCAAAU